GGGCCUUUAGCUCAGUUGGUCAGAGCAACCGGCUCAUAACAGGUUGGUCCGGGGUUCGAGUCCCUGAAGGCCCACCA
This 77-nucleotide transfer RNA is filed under the name Clostridiaceae bacterium. Its description in RNAcentral is "tRNA-Ile". It matches the Rfam family "tRNA". From Rfam's summary of the family: Transfer RNA (tRNA) molecules are approximately 80 nucleotides in length. Their secondary structure includes four short double-helical elements and three loops (D, anti-codon, and T loops). Further hydrogen bonds mediate the characteristic L-shaped molecular structure. tRNAs have two regions of fundamental functional importance: the anti-codon, which is responsible for specific mRNA codon recognition, and the 3' end, to which the tRNAs corresponding amino acid is attached (by aminoacyl-tRNA synthetases). tRNAs cope with the degeneracy of the genetic code in two manners: having more than one tRNA (with a specific anti-codon) for a particular amino acid; and 'wobble' base-pairing, i.e. permitting non-standard base-pairing at the 3rd anti-codon position. The record is from RNAcentral. Lineage: Bacteria; Bacillati; Bacillota; Clostridia; Eubacteriales; Clostridiaceae.